CCUACGGGAGGCAGCAGUGAGGAAUAUUGGUCAAUGGACGAGAGUCUGAACCAGCCAAGUAGCGUGAAGGAUGACUGCCCUAUGGGUUGUAAACUUCUUUUAUAUGGGAAUAAAAUGUUCCACGUGUGGGAUUUUGUAUGUACCCUAUGAAUAAGGAUCGGCUAACUCCGUGCCAGCAGCCGCGGUAAUACGGAGGAUCCGAGCGUUAUCCGGAUUUAUUGGGUUUAAAGGGAGCGUAGGUGGAUUGUUAAGUCAGUUGUGAAAGUUUGCGGCUCAACCGUAAAAUUGCAGUUGAAACUGGCAGUCUGGAGUGCAGUAGAGGUGGGCGGAAUUCGGGGUGUAGCGGUGAAAUGCUUAGAUAUCACGAAGAACUCCGAUUGCGAAGGCAGCUCACUGGACUGCAACUGACACUGAGGCGCGAAAGUGUGGGUAUCAAACAGGAUUAGAUACCCGGGUAGUC
Molecule: ribosomal RNA, 460 nt
Filed under: uncultured bacterium
Lineage: Bacteria
Description: partial 16S ribosomal RNA
Rfam family: Bacterial small subunit ribosomal RNA
Source: RNAcentral